CACCACCACCACUCCUGCAGCAGCUGUUACCACCACCACCACUCCUGCAGCAGCUGUCACCACCACCACUCCUGCAGCAGCUGUUACCACCACCACUCCUGCAGCAGCUGUUACCACUCCUGCAGCAGCUGUCACCACCACAACUCCUGCAGCAGCUGUUACCACCACCACUCCUGCAGCAGCUGUUACCACCACCACUUCAACCAUUUUCGCUGUUGUUGCAUCAACUGACCCUCCAUCUUCUAGUGAAGGAACCCUGAAGGUUCAGUUCAGUCUCAACCAGACGUUCAACUCAGAUCUUUCCAACCCGUCGUCUUCAGCAUUCAAGAAUCUGGCUGCCAAAGUGCAAUCUGACGUAAGUAUCAGGGCAAUUCCAUGCCAGCGUGUAUGUUUUAUUUUAUCACUACAGACCCUGGUUCGAUUCCAGGCUGUAUCACAGCGGUCUAAGGCACUGCAUCUCAGUGCUAGAGGCUUCACUACAGACCCUGGUUCGAUUCCAGGCUGUAUCACAGUGGUCUAAGGCACUGCAUCUCAGUGCUAGAGGCUUCACUACAGACCCUGGUUCGAUUCCAGGCUGUAUCACAGUGGUCUAAGGCACUGCAUCUCAGUGCUAGAGGCUUCACUACAGAACCUGGUUUGAUUCCAGGCUGUAUCACAACUGGCCCUGAUUGGGAGUCCCAUAGGGCGGUGCACAAUUGGCCCAGCGUCGUCCUGGUUAGGGUUUGGUUGGGGGGGUAGGCC
Molecule: long non-coding RNA, 741 nt
Filed under: Salmo salar (Atlantic salmon)
Lineage: Eukaryota; Metazoa; Chordata; Actinopteri; Salmoniformes; Salmonidae
Description: lncRNA (ENSSSAG00000107287.1)
Source: RNAcentral